UUUCCGUAGGUGAACCUGCGGAAGGAUCAUUAAUGUGUUUGGGCCUCACGGCUCUUCAUUCCGACGCUGUGCGCCUUCGGGCUGCACGCUGAGGGAGCAUAUAUCCACCCCUGUGCACACACACGGUGGCGAGCUGGGUAACGGCUCGCCGCUGAUCUUUACACACGUCUAAAAGUCAUUGUAUGUUUAUUUGAGAUAAAAACACAACUUUCAGCAACGGAUCUCUUGGCCCUCGCAUCGAUGAAGACGCAGC
RNAcentral lists this unclassified non-coding RNA (253 nucleotides) under plant metagenome. RNAcentral describes it as "partial contains small subunit ribosomal RNA, internal transcribed spacer 1, and 5.8S ribosomal RNA". The stretch from base 206 to 253 matches the Rfam family "5.8S ribosomal RNA", at positions 1 to 49 of the family's 154-position model. The record is from RNAcentral.